RNAcentral lists this ribosomal RNA (492 nucleotides) under uncultured bacterium. Its description in RNAcentral is "partial 16S ribosomal RNA". It matches the Rfam family "Bacterial small subunit ribosomal RNA", at positions 29 to 507 of the family's 1533-position model. The record is from RNAcentral.
AGUGAACGCUGGCGGUAGGCCUAACACAUGCAAGUCGAACGGCAGCACAGUAAGAGCUUGCUCUUACGGGUGGCGAGUGGCGGACGGGUGAGGAAUACAUCGGAAUCUACUUUUUCGUGGGGGAUAACGUAGGGAAACUUACGCUAAUACCGCAUACGACCUACGGGUGAAAGCAGGGGAUCUUCGGACCUUGCGCGAUUGAAUGAGCCGAUGUCGGAUUAGCUAGUUGGCGGGGUAAAGGCCCACCAAGGCGACGAUCCGUAGCUGGUCUGAGAGGAUGAUCAGCCACACUGGAACUGAGACACGGUCCAGACUCCUACGGGAGGCAGCAGUGGGGAAUAUUGGACAAUGGGCGCAAGCCUGAUCCGGCCAUACCGCGUGGGUGAAGAGGGCCUUCGGGUUGUAAAGCCCUUUUGUUAGGAAAGAAAAGCAGCAGGUUAAUACCCCGCUGUUCUGACGGUACCCAAAGAAUAAGCACCGGCUAACUUCGUG